UCUCAGUUCGGAUUGCAGGCUGCAACUCGCCUGCAUGAAGCUGGAAUUGCUAGUAAUCGCGGAUCAGCACGCCGCGGUGAAUACGUUCCCGGGCCUUGUACACACCGCCCGUCACACCAUGAGAGUCGGGAACACCCGAAGUCCGUAGUCUAACCGCAAGGGGGCGCGGCCGAAGGUGGGUCCGGUAAUUGGGGUGAAGUCGUAACAAGGUAAC
RNAcentral lists this ribosomal RNA (214 nucleotides) under uncultured bacterium. RNAcentral's name for it is "partial 16S ribosomal RNA". It matches the Rfam family "Bacterial small subunit ribosomal RNA", at positions 1286 to 1500 of the family's 1533-position model. The record is from RNAcentral.